Molecule: ribosomal RNA, 523 nt
Filed under: uncultured bacterium
Lineage: Bacteria
Description: partial 16S ribosomal RNA
Rfam family: Bacterial small subunit ribosomal RNA
Source: RNAcentral
GACGAACGCUGGCGGCGUGCCUAAUACAUGCAAGUCGAACGCUUUUUCUUUCACCGGAGCUUGCUCCACCGAAAGAAAAAGAGUGGCGAACGGGUGAGUAACACGUGGGUAACCUGCCCAUCAGAAGGGGAUAACACUUGGAAACAGGUGCUAAUACCGUAUAACACUAUUUUCCGCAUGGAAGAAAGUUGAAAGGCGCUUUCGCGUCACUGAUGGAUGGACCCGCGGUGCAUUAGCUAGUUGGUGAGGUAACGGCUCACCAAGGCAACGAUGGAUAGCACACGUGAUAGGGUGUUCUGCCACGAUGGGACCGAGUGACGGCCCGCACUCUUUCGGGGGGCAUCAGUAGGGAAUCUUCGGCAAUCGUCGUAAGUCUCACCGUGCAACGUCGCAUGCGUGAUGAAGGUUUUCGGAUCGUAGACCUCUAUUCUUAGAGAAGAACAAGGAGGAGAGUAAAACGUUCAUCCCUUGACGGUAUCUAACCAGAAAGCCACGGCUAAAUGCGUGCCAGCCGCCGCGGUAA